AUUUUUAGUAGAGAUGGACUUUCACUAUGUUGGCCAGGCUGGUCUCGAACUCCUGGCCUCAAGUGAUCAGCCUGCCUCUGCCUCCCAAAAUGCUGGGAUUACAGUCAUAAGCCACUGCACCCAACCUCUCCCUGUUAAUUUAGAACAGAUACUGGAUCCUUGUCAAAGCCAAGGUCAGAGAUGAGAAGAGAGCAACUCUGUAUUGGAGGAUUAUUGAGUGAGUUUGCUGUACAGGUGGCCAGGACUCAAGGAGGGGCUAAUGCCCACAAACACGUGGCCUAUCUGUGGGCAAAGAGCCUGGGAGGAGAAGCUGCAGUUAGACUACUUACCAAGCUGGGACUCCUGGAAGCUUCCGUUGACCAUGCUGCAGACAAUUGCUCCUUUGAAUUUGCUUUUGAACUCUCUCGGCUGGCCCUCAAGCACAAAACCCCCGAGAUCCAUCUCAAAUACGCCAUGUACCUGGAGGAUGAGGGUAAAUUGGAAGAGGCUGAAGCUGAAUUCAUCAGAGCUGGUAAACCCAAGGAAGCAGUCCUCAUGAGGCUGGAUUAUGGAGUGACGCACUGCGGAUCUGCAAGGACUAUGUGCCCGGCCAGCUGGAGGCUCUGCAGGAGGAGUAUGAGCGGGAAGCUACUAAGAAGGGGGCCAGGUAUGAGGCCAGAGGUCCAGCAGCAGUGGGAGGGCUGGGAGGGUCAUGAGGCGUGCACAGGGUAGAGCACACUGCCCCCCACCCCGUGCCUAGUCCCAGUGCUCUAAUCUCCACAGGGGUGUGGAGGGACUCGUGGAACAAGCUCGACACUGGGAGCAGGCUGGAGAGUACAGUCGCGCCGUGGACUGCUACCUCCGAGUGCGAGACUCUGGAAACAGCGGCCUGAUGGAGAAGUGCUGGAUGAAGGUGAGGGCAGCAGGCUCUUUCUGGCCCUCCUCCUUCCUAGGCCUCCAUUCACACUCAGCUUCCCUUCUCACAUCUGCAGCUGUCUCCUCUGUGUCUUUUCCUUUUCAGUCAGGUAGCAGGAAUCUGUAGAGCUCCUGCUGGAUGGCAGAGCCAGAACCUCUGAAGGCUGUUAGGCAGACAUAAGACAGAGCCCUGACAGCUCAAAGUUAGGGGAGCUGGACUAACAUGGCUCAGUUAAUAUCGUAUCAGAGUAAAGACUAAAUUGCUUGACUUAGAAUUCAGAGAACAGUGAGAUCUGUGUGGACUAGAAGAGUCAGGAAGGCUCUGUGAAGAAGGAGGGAGGACUUGGACAGGAGCUCCAGGCACAGGAACUGGCCUGACAGGGACCAUGACAAAGGCUGGGCUCCGCCUCCCCCUCACUAAUUCCUGAAAAGAAGCCUCCAGCAAAUGAAGCCAGGCCGGUAUGUGUCACAAAUAAUAAGACAUACUGUAUUAGAG
Molecule: long non-coding RNA, 1390 nt
Filed under: Saimiri boliviensis boliviensis (Bolivian squirrel monkey)
Lineage: Eukaryota; Metazoa; Chordata; Mammalia; Primates; Cebidae
Description: lncRNA (ENSSBOG00000036713.1)
Source: RNAcentral